GGGAGCUGGAGGGACACUGGGAAGAGCACUGGGCACUGGGCACACUGGUCUCUGGGCACUGGGCACAGGGCACUGGGCACUGGUCAUACUGGUCACACUGGGCACUGGUCAUGGGGCACUGGGCACUGGUAACUGGUCACACUGGGCACUGGUCACACUGGGCACUGGUCGUGGGGCACUGGGCACAGGGCACUGAGCACUGGUCAUGGGACAUUGGGCACUGGGCACUGGUCAGACUGGUCUCUGGGCACUGGGCACUGGGUACUGGGCACUGGUCAUACUGGACACUGGGCACUGGUCACAGGUCACUGGGUACUCGGCACUGGUCACUGGUAACUGGUCACACUGGGCAUGGUCACACUGGGCACUGGUCAUGGGGCACUGGGCACUGGUAACUGGUCACACUGGGCACUGGUCAUGGGGCACUGGGCACUGGUCACACUGGUCACACUGGUCUCUGGGCACUGGGCACAGGGCACGUCAUGGGGCACUGGUCUCUGGGCACUGGUCACACUGGGCACUGGGCACUGGGCACACUGGUCUCUGGUCACACUGGGCACUGGGCACACUGGGCACUGGUCAUGGGGCACUGGGCACUGGGUACUGGGCAUUGGGCACUGGGCACUGGGCACUGGGCACACUGGGCACUGGGCACUGGGCACACGGGGCACUGGGCACUGGUCUCUGGUCACUGGUAACUGGUCAUGGAGCACUGGUCACACUGGUCUCUGGGCACUGGUCACAGGGCACUGGGCACAGGGCACUGGGUACUGGGCAUUGGUCACACUGGGCACAGGGCACUGGUCAUGGGGCACUGGUCACUGGUCGCACUGGUCACUGGUCACACUGGUAACUGGUCACACUGGGCACUGGUCAUGGGGCACUGGGCACUGGGCACUGGGCCCAGGGCACACGGCACUGGACACUGGGCACUGGUCAUACUGGUCACACUGGGCACUGGUCAUGGGGCACUGGUCCCUGGCCACACUGCUCACACUGGUCCCUGUUCCCCACUGCUGGGUGCCCGGGGGUGACGGGACGGGGGGGGGGGUGUGCGGCUGCUGGGCCCCCCCUCACCGUGCGCUGGUUUGCAGUGGCGCUGCUGGGACCCCGCAGCACAGGUAUGGAGAGAGGGGGGGGAGCUGGGGGGGGGGGGUGAACCUGCCCCAG
This 1170-nucleotide long non-coding RNA is filed under the name Strigops habroptila (Kakapo). Its description in RNAcentral is "lncRNA (ENSSHBG00005008925.1)". Lineage: Eukaryota; Metazoa; Chordata; Aves; Psittaciformes; Psittacidae. The record is from RNAcentral.